UACAGAGGGUGCGAGCGUUGUCCGGAAUCACUGGGCGUAAAGGGCGCGUAGGUGGCGCUCCAAGUCCGUGGUGAAAGCUCGAUGCUCAACAUCGAGUCGGCCACGGAGACUGGAGGGCUCGAGCACUGUAGGGGCAGAUGGAAUUCCCGGUGUAGCGGUGAAAUGCCCAGAUAUCGGGAGGAACACCAAUGGCGAAGGCAGCUCGCUGGGACGGUACUGACGCUGAGGCGCGAAAGCGUGGGGAGCAAACAGG
RNAcentral lists this ribosomal RNA (253 nucleotides) under uncultured bacterium. RNAcentral describes it as "partial 16S ribosomal RNA". It matches the Rfam family "Bacterial small subunit ribosomal RNA", at positions 524 to 776 of the family's 1533-position model. The record is from RNAcentral.